This 464-nucleotide ribosomal RNA is filed under the name uncultured bacterium. Its description in RNAcentral is "partial 16S ribosomal RNA". It matches the Rfam family "Bacterial small subunit ribosomal RNA", at positions 28 to 507 of the family's 1533-position model. The record is from RNAcentral.
GACGAACGCUGGCGGCGUGCUUAACACAUGCAAGUCGUACGGUAAGGCCCUUUCGGGGGUACACGAGUGGCGAACGGGUGAGUAACACGUGAGUAACCUGCCCACAACUUUGGGAUAACGCUAGGAAACUGGUGCUAAUACUGGAUAUGUGCUCCUGCUGCAUGGUGGGGGUUGGAAAGCUCCGGCGGUUGUGGAUGGACUCGCGGCCUAUCAGCGUGUUGGUGGGGUAGUGGCUUACCAAGGCUUUGACGGGUAGCCGGCCUGAGAGGGUGACCGGCCACAUUGGGACUGAGAUACGGCCCAGACUCCUACGGGAGGCAGCAGUGGGGAAUAUUGCACAAUGGGCGGAAGCCUGAUGCAGCAACGCCGCGUGCGGGAUGACGGCCUUCGGGUUGUAAACCGCUUUCGCCUGUGACGAAGCGUGAGUGACGGUAAUGGGUAAAGAAGCACCGGCUAACUACGUG